Molecule: ribosomal RNA, 253 nt
Filed under: uncultured bacterium
Lineage: Bacteria
Description: partial 16S ribosomal RNA
Rfam family: Bacterial small subunit ribosomal RNA
Source: RNAcentral
UACGAAGGGGGCUAGCGUUGCUCGGAAUCACUGGGCGUAAAGGGUGCGUAGGCGGGUCUUUAAGUCAGAGGUGAAAGCCUGGAGCUCAACUCCAGAACUGCCUUUGAUACUGAGGAUCUCGAGUUCGGGAGAGGUGAGUGGAACUGCGAGUGUAGAGGUGAAAUUCGUAGAUAUUCGCAAGAACACCAGUGGCGAAGGCGGCUCACUGGCCCGAUACUGACGCUGAGGCACGAAAGCGUGGGGAGCAAACAGG